This 553-nucleotide ribosomal RNA is filed under the name Bacillus sp. PCSM51. Its description in RNAcentral is "bacterial SSU rRNA". It matches the Rfam family "Bacterial small subunit ribosomal RNA", at positions 143 to 681 of the family's 1533-position model. The record is from RNAcentral. Lineage: Bacteria; Bacillati; Bacillota; Bacilli; Caryophanales; Bacillaceae.
AUAACUCCGGGAAACCGGGGCUAAUACCGGAUGGUUGUUUGAACCGCAUGGUUCAAACAUAAAAGGUGGCUUCGGCUACCACUUACAGAUGGACCCGCGGCGCAUUAGCUAGUUGGUGAGGUAACGGCUCACCAAGGCAACGAUGCGUAGCCGACCUGAGAGGGUGAUCGGCCACACUGGGACUGAGACACGGCCCAGACUCCUACGGGAGGCAGCAGUAGGGAAUCUUCCGCAAUGGACGAAAGUCUGACGGAGCAACGCCGCGUGAGUGAUGAAGGUUUUCGGAUCGUAAAGCUCUGUUGUUAGGGAAGAACAAGUACCGUUCGAAUAGGGCGGUACCUUGACGGUACCUAACCAGAAAGCCACGGCUAACUACGUGCCAGCAGCCGCGGUAAUACGUAGGUGGCAAGCGUUGUCCGGAAUUAUUGGGCGUAAAGGGCUCGCAGGCGGUUUCUUAAGUCUGAUGUGAAAGCCCCCGGCUCAACCGGGGAGGGUCAUUGGAAACUGGGGAACUUGAGUGCAGAAGAGGAGAGUGGAAUUCCACGUGUAGCGG